GGUGUAGCUCAGUGGUAGAGCAUGUGUUUACCAUGCCCAAGGCCUUGGGUUUAAUAUCCAACACC
RNAcentral lists this transfer RNA (65 nucleotides) under Heterocephalus glaber (naked mole-rat). It matches the Rfam family "tRNA". Rfam says of the family: Transfer RNA (tRNA) molecules are approximately 80 nucleotides in length. Lineage: Eukaryota; Metazoa; Chordata; Mammalia; Rodentia; Bathyergidae. The record is from Rfam by way of RNAcentral.